Molecule: transfer RNA, 86 nt
Filed under: Lacunisphaera sp.
Lineage: Bacteria; Pseudomonadati; Verrucomicrobiota; Opitutia; Opitutales; Opitutaceae
Description: tRNA-Leu
Rfam family: tRNA
About the family: Transfer RNA (tRNA) molecules are approximately 80 nucleotides in length.
Source: RNAcentral
GCCCGGGUGGCGGAAUGGUAGACGCUGGGGACUUAAAAUCCCCUGGCCGCAAGGCCAUGUGGGUUCGAGCCCCACCCCGGGCACCA